GUGCUCGCUUCAGCAGCACAUGUACUAAAAUUGGAACGAUAAAGAGAAGAUUAGCAUGGCCCCUGCGCAAGGAUAAUGUGCAAAUUCGUGAAGCAUUCCAUAUUUUU
RNAcentral lists this small nuclear RNA (107 nucleotides) under Tupaia belangeri (northern tree shrew). Lineage: Eukaryota; Metazoa; Chordata; Mammalia; Scandentia; Tupaiidae. The record is from RNAcentral.